This 508-nucleotide ribosomal RNA is filed under the name uncultured bacterium. RNAcentral's name for it is "bacterial SSU rRNA". It matches the Rfam family "Bacterial small subunit ribosomal RNA", at positions 8 to 526 of the family's 1533-position model. The record is from RNAcentral.
AGAGUUUGAUCCUGGCUCAGGACGAACGCUGGCGGCGUGCUUAAAACAUGCAAGUCGAACGAGGUCCAUGGAGUGGCAACACUCCGGAAGACCUAGUGGCGAACGGGUGCGUAACACGUGAGGAACCUGCCCCGGAGACCGGGAUAACCCCUCGAAAGAGGAGCUAAUACCGGAUGUCCUCGUCUGAUCGCAUGGUCGGACGAAGAAAUGGAUUCCGCUCCGGGAUGGCCUCGCGGCCUAUCAGCUUGUUGGUGGGGUAACGGCUCACCAAGGCGUCGACGGGUAGCUGGUCUGAGAGGACGAUCAGCCACACUGGGACUGAGACACGGCCCAGACUCCUACGGGAGGCAGCAGUUAGGAAUCUUGCGCAAUGGGCGAAAGCCUAACGCAGCAACGCCGCGUGGGGGAUGAAGGCUCUCGGGUCGUAAACCCCUUUCAGCAGGGACGAUUGUGACGGUACCUGCAGAAGAAGGACCGGCCAACUACGUGCCAGCCGCCGCGGUAAUAC